UUAGAACAAUAAAAUUAGAAAGAUAGAGAAGAUUAGCAUGGCCCCUAUGCAAGCAUGACAUGCAAAUCUGUGAAACAUUCUAGAUUUUU
RNAcentral lists this small nuclear RNA (89 nucleotides) under Phascolarctos cinereus (koala). Lineage: Eukaryota; Metazoa; Chordata; Mammalia; Diprotodontia; Phascolarctidae. The record is from RNAcentral.